AGUGAACGCUGGCGGUAGGCCUAACACAUGCAAGUCGAACGGCAGCACAGUAAGAGCUUGCUCUCACGGGUGGCGAGUGUCGGACGGGUGAGGAAUACAUCGGAAUCUACUUCUUCGUGGGGGAUAACGCCGGGUAACUUACGCUAAUCCAGCAUACGACCUCCGGGUAAAAGCAGGGGUUCUUCGGACCUUUCGCUAUUGAAUGAGCCGAUGUCGGCUUCGCUCGGUGGCGGGGCAAAGGGCAACCUAAGCGACUCUCCGAAGCUGGUAUGAGCGGAUGGACAGCCAGACUGGCACUGAGACACGGCCCAGACACUUACAGUGGGCAGCGGUGGGGAAUAUUGGACGAGGGGGGCGAGCCUGAUCCAGCCAUACCGCGUGGGUGAAGAAGGCCUUCGGGUUGUAAAGCCCUUUUGUUGGGAAAGAAAAACAGCAGGUUAAUACCCCGCUGUUCUGACGGUACCCAAAGAAUAAGCUCCGGCUAACUUCGUG
This 492-nucleotide ribosomal RNA is filed under the name uncultured bacterium. RNAcentral describes it as "partial 16S ribosomal RNA". It matches the Rfam family "Bacterial small subunit ribosomal RNA", at positions 29 to 507 of the family's 1533-position model. The record is from RNAcentral.